CCAAUAGCGUAUAUUAAAGUUGUUGUGGUUAAAAAGCUCGUAGUUGAACCUUGGGCCUGGCUGGCCGGUCCGCCUCACCGCGUGUACUGGUCCGGCCGGGCCUUUCCCUCUGUGGAACCUCAUGCCCUUCACUGGGUGUGACGGGGAAGCAGGACUUUUACUGUGAAAAAAUUAGAGUGCUCCAAGCAGGCCUAUGCUCGAAUACAUUAGCAUGGAAUAAUAAAAUAGGACGUGCGGUUCUAUUUUGUUGGUUUCUAGGACCGCCGUAAUGAUUAAUAGGGACAUUCGGGGGCAUCAGUAUUCAAUUGUCAGAGGUGAAAUUCUUGAAUUUAUUGAAGACUAACUACUGCGAAAGCAUUUGCCAGGAUGUUUUCAUUAAUCAGGAACGAAAGUUAGGGGAUCGAAGACGAUCAGAUACCGUCGUAGUCUUAACCAUAAACUAUGCCGACUAGGGAUCGGACGAUGUUAUUUUUUGACUCGUUCGGCACCUUACG
RNAcentral lists this ribosomal RNA (494 nucleotides) under uncultured Glomeromycotina. Its description in RNAcentral is "partial small subunit ribosomal RNA". It matches the Rfam family "Eukaryotic small subunit ribosomal RNA", at positions 591 to 1092 of the family's 1831-position model. The record is from RNAcentral. Lineage: Eukaryota; Fungi; Glomeromycota.